Molecule: small RNA, 154 nt
Filed under: Arabidopsis thaliana (thale cress)
Lineage: Eukaryota; Viridiplantae; Streptophyta; Magnoliopsida; Brassicales; Brassicaceae
Description: ATSL190390
Source: RNAcentral
AAUAUUUAGAAAAGAAAAAAAAAAUCUUACACAAUCAAUUUUAUAUACAUCUUAUAUAAUAAAUAAAGGUUUCUCCUAUUCAAGAGCUACGAGAAGCUGACACGUGACAUCUCUCCUUGUGACAUGUGUCCUCUCUCAACUUAAAUACACUAUU